Spodoptera frugiperda (fall armyworm) is the source of this 2589-nucleotide long non-coding RNA. RefSeq lists it as uncharacterized. Lineage: Eukaryota; Metazoa; Arthropoda; Insecta; Lepidoptera; Noctuidae. The record is from RefSeq and is a predicted model, not a curated record. The transcript is spliced from 2 exons.
AAAACUAGAGAUCGGCUGGACCGAUUUGGCUUAUUUUGAUCUUGAAUUCUUUUUCCAGGGAAGGUUUAAAAAAUAUUAAAAUUUGCCAGGUCCGAAUCAAUGCGGAUUGUAACAAUUGUUUAAGUCAAAAUAAAAAUGGUGACGGUAAAUCGAAAAGUGGGCUGUCGUUAGAUCUUUUUUUAUUUAACAGAGCCAUCCAUCAGCCACUACAUAUACAGAUACAGGUACAGAUAUAUUGCAAACCAAAAAUCCCAAUACUAUUCUGCAUUUGUCAGAGAAAUGUUAAUCCAAUAAUAAGAAGACUCUACCAGACUCGAAAAUAAAAAUUGAGACAUGCUCGGUAGUUACUCUUGUCGCCACUCGCCCAACUUACCACGUGUAGUCAUGUAUAUUAUAUUAGUCAUAGAUAUUAGUAUAGAAAAACCAUAUAAGGAAUACAGGUGGUCAUCUACCGAGAACAAGUCAUUUCAUUACCAUUAAAACAAUUUAAACGACGGAUAUGGAAUGGAGUUAUCAAGAAAAUUGAAUAUUUCCAUAAAUUUAGAUAAAAAUAAUGAUCUCAACGGGUUUUCUGUUUUCCCACAGUUGUUAAAUUUUACAACGGUUGAAAGUUGACAAAUAUAUCCAUUAUAAAAUAUGUCAUGUCGAUGAAGUGAAAACUUUUUGUUCCAUAAUAGAAUUAAGCUUAAGAAUGGGAGAGUCGUGCUUAAGCACGAAUGGGCCGGCUCGACCAGAGUAAUACUACGGCCUCACAGAAAACCGACGUGAAACAACACUUGCGUUGUGUUUCGUUCUGUUGUUCUGAGGUUACCGGAGACCCAAUUACCCCUCUUCCCAAAUUUACCAAUCCCCGAUUCCCCAACAACCUUAAAUUUUUAACCCCCAACCGGCCGGCAACGCACUAAUAACGCCUGUGAUGUUUCGGGUGUCCAUGGGCGGUGGCGAUUGCUUGCCAUCCGGUGAUCCGUCUGCAUGUUUACCGGUUUAUACCAUUAAAAAGUUGGUUCUCCAUACUAAUUGUGAAGAAAUCUGAACUUUAAAUACAUGUAUAAUGCAGGUAAAUCUCAAAUCAUUUGAUAACAUAACAUAUUUUUUUAACUAAAGCAGUGCCAGUAUCCAUUAAAAUACACUUAUUCAGUACAAAUUAACACACCGUUGAAAAACUUGACUAUAUUUAUUAUAAAUAAUAAUGCAUAUAUAACUAUAGAUAUACAGACGAAGACCUAAACGUGGAUGUCAUACUUAAACAAUUGUAAUUCCAAUCUUUGUUUCUCUACUGGGUUAUGCAAGAAAAAUUUACAAUAAUUAUUGUAAAUUGUAGUGAAUAGCAAUUAUUCUUGAUUUUCUAUCUUAUUGAACAUUGAUUUCUUAGAAGGAAUCAUAAUGACCUAUUGUAUUAGAGAAAAUUCUUGAUGAUACACAUAUUUUAAAACAAUUAUCAUUAAUACUCGACAUCACGCAUGAUUGCCACUUCCUAAUGACCUAUAUAGAUUGCGCUUAUCUUAUUACCAGAAUAGAUUAUUGAACUAUAAAUAUUAAAACUAAAAUGUUUUAAUUUGAAGUACUCCAAUUAUUAAAAAAAAACAAUUAACAAUACAAAUAUAACAUUCGAGUAGUCAAUGUACUAAAAAAUCCCAAAUAUACUAAGGAUAUUAAUAUUAAUAUACUAAGAAAUCCCAAAACCACUCAUCAAGCAAAUAAAUGCCUAUGAUAUCACUGCUAGGUAUGAAUGUAGAUACUAAAAGGUGUUAAUUUAAAAAAUACGCAUAACGUAAGGAUUUCCCGAACGCUUCGAGAAAAUUUCCAUUGAUGAUGAGGUAAUAAAUCCGAAUCAUUUCAUAACACAUAAUUUGUUGUUAUCAAACACGUCAAAGAGGAUACAAAACAUCCUUAUUUUGAUAAUUACGGCACGCAACACGCCGCCCUAGAAUGCGACGCAGAAAACUACACGAAACCGCUCCGGCACAACUUUUACGAAGAAAAAAAAAAGAACGCGCGUCAGUGACACGCCCGUUCAUCAUAAAGAACCAUCCAAUUACUGAGCAUCAAAACAAAAAGCCGCUAUGACGUCUGUGGCCGACCAAUGUUUGAACUCGCGCUGACCUAAACGAUCGCGCAAUCGUUAUAUAUAAGAAGUGGGAGGUGCAACUCCUCACAACUCAUUGAGCGCUAGCAGCGAACAGACGUGUUGUAAAUUUUUAAUUACAAUUUACUCUAAACAAAUCAAAAUGUACACAAACCCUUUCGAGAGGAAACACUCGUCAUUGAGGCAGGCCCUUGACCGCUUCAUGAGGGGUGAGACCCGCCUCAGCUUCAGGAAGAAGACGGACUUAUCCAAGUCUUCAAGCAGCAGUACAUCUUCCAUGGUGUCUUCAAACAUGGAUUACAACUACAAACCUAAGUUUAACGAGAAGAGGUGAAGAGAACAAUCGUGUGUGUUGUGAUAGUGAAUUAUUAUUGCCAGUUACACUCUCAAAACAGGUCGAGUGUGGCUGAGACCGGUUGGAUGACGUCAGAAGAACGUGGACCAGUGGACGUGGGACUUCUACCCAUUAAAAAUGAUUGAAUAAAUUUAUUUUUUUAUUCUAA